Molecule: ribosomal RNA, 253 nt
Filed under: uncultured bacterium
Lineage: Bacteria
Description: partial 16S ribosomal RNA
Rfam family: Bacterial small subunit ribosomal RNA
Source: RNAcentral
UACGUAGGUGGCAAGCGUUGUCCGGAUUUACUGGGCGUAAAGAGCGCGCAGGCGGUCGUUCAAGUCGCGUGUGAAAGCCCCCGGCUCAACUGGGGAGGGUCACGCGAUACUGAUCGACUCGAAGGCAGGAGAGGGUAGUGGAAUUCCCGGUGUAGUGGUGAAAUGCGUAGAUAUCGGGAGGAACACCUGUGGCGAAGGCGGCUUGCUGGGCCUUACCUGACGCUGAGACGCGAAAGCGUGGGGAGCGAACCGG